This 473-nucleotide ribosomal RNA is filed under the name uncultured bacterium. RNAcentral describes it as "SSU rRNA". It matches the Rfam family "Bacterial small subunit ribosomal RNA", at positions 26 to 518 of the family's 1533-position model. The record is from RNAcentral.
AGGACGAACGCUGGCGGCGUGCUUAACACAUGCAAGUCGAGCGGAAAGGCCCUUCGGGGUACUCGAGCGGCGAACGGGUGAGUAACACGUGAGCAACCUGCCCUUAGCUCCGGGAUAGCUCCGGGAAACCGGAAUUAAUACCGGAUACGACCACGGCCGACAUCUGCUGUGGUGGAAAGGAUUCCGGCUAAGGAUGGGCUCGCGGCCUAUCAGCUAGUUGGUGGAGUAACGGCCCACCAAGGCGACGACGGGUAGCCGGCCUGAGAGGGCGACCGGCCACACUGGGACUGAGACACGGCCCAGACUCCUACGGGAGGCAGCAGUGGGGAUAUUGCGCAAUGGGCGAAAGCCUGACGCAGCGACGCCGCGUGGGGGAUGAAGGCCUUCGGGUUGUAAACCCCUUUCAGCAGGGACGAAGCGAAAGUGACGGUACCUGCAGAAGAAGCGCCGGCUAACUACGUGCCAGCAGCCGC